This 504-nucleotide ribosomal RNA is filed under the name uncultured bacterium. RNAcentral describes it as "bacterial SSU rRNA". It matches the Rfam family "Bacterial small subunit ribosomal RNA", at positions 791 to 1304 of the family's 1533-position model. The record is from RNAcentral.
UAGUCUACGCCGUAAACGAUGGAUACUAGCUGUUGGGCUUCGGUUCAGUGGCUAAGCGAAAGUGAUAAGUAUCCCACCUGGGGAGUACGUUCGCAAGAAUGAAACUCAAAGGAAUUGACGGGGGCCCGCACAAGCGGUGGAGCAUGUGGUUUAAUUCGAUGAUACGCGAGGAACCUUACCAGGGCUUAAAUGUAGAUUGACAGGUUUAGAGAUAGACUUUUCUUCGGACAAUUUACAAGGUGCUGCAUGGUUGUCGUCAGCUCGUGCCGUGAGGUGUCAGGUUAAGUUCCGCAACGAGCGCAACCCUUGUCUUUAGUUGCCAUCAUUCAGUUGGGCACUCUAAAGAGACUGCCGGUGACAAACCGGAGGAAGGUAAGGAUGACGUCAAGUCAGCAUGCCCCUUACGCCCUGGGCCACACACGUGCUACAAUGGUCGUGACAAAGGGUCGCUAAUCUGCAAAGACAUGCUAAUCUCAUAAACACGGCCUCAGUUCGGAUUGCAGG